RNAcentral lists this long non-coding RNA (744 nucleotides) under Mytilus galloprovincialis (Mediterranean mussel). Lineage: Eukaryota; Metazoa; Mollusca; Bivalvia; Mytilida; Mytilidae. The record is from RNAcentral.
UAACAAUCAAACUUAUAUGUGAGUAAAGAUCUCAAUCCAUUUUGCAUUUUUACAGUUAAAAUUCCUUAUUAGAAUAUUUAAGUAAUUUUGUACAAGUUUAUUUUUAUUCUGCAAGAGUAAACAAUAUUUAUCUCAAGGGUAGACCUCGGUAUAGAGAUACGGUCAUCCCUAGAAUUCUACUGUACAUGUUCUGACAGUAAAACACUAUAUAAAUUGGGCAUUUUAUUUGUCUGUAUUGUUGAAAGUUGAAAUUAUAUUUUGGCUGUGCGGUUGAAAGUUGAUGUGUAUAUUUUGGUUGUGUGGUUGAAAGUUGAAAUUAUUUUUUUACAACUGGGCUAUUAACUAUGGAUUCAUUAUUUUUCAUUGGGUAUUAGGUGAACAAUGCAUUAAAGUUUUCAACUAAAUAUAAUUGUUCUGUAAAAGAGACAGAAGUUGCUGAAACCAUAAACUGAAUGUCCACAAAGAUGCCACAUUCCGUGAUCCACUAAAAUUGAUGAUCCACAGUAGAUUGUAACAGAUUCUUAUUUAACCAAAAAACUUAAUUUCUAAUCAAUCUUUAGAAAGCUUCUCUGUCAAAUCAAAUACAAUUGAACCCUUAAUAGUAAAUGAGUAGCCUCUUAUGUCAAAUAGACUUCAAGAGUUACAGUUAGUUUUACAUAAAUGUAUAGAUUUUUAACUAAGAAAGAAAAAAAUAUAUAACAUUGCAUAUUCUGUCUUUAGACUUUGUGAGUUAAUUUGUGAAAA